CCUACGGGAGGCAGCAGUGAGGAAUAUUGGUCAAUGGACGAGAGUCUGAACCAGCCAAGUCGCGUGAGGGAUGACUGCCCUAGGGGUUGUAAACUUCGUUUAUAUGGGAAUAAAUUGUUCCACGUGUGGGAUUUUGUAUGUACCAUAUGAAUAAGGAUCGGCUAACUCCGUGCCAGCAGCCGCGGUAAUACGGAGGAUCCGAGCGUUAUCCGGAUUUAUUGGGUUUAAAGGGAGCGUAGGUGGAUUGUUAAGUCAGUUGUGAAAGUUUGCGGCUCAACCGUAAAAUUGCAGUUGAAACUGGCAGUCUGGAGUACAGUAGAGGUGGGCGGAAUUCGUGGUGUAGCGGUGAAAUGCUUAGAUAUCACGAAGAACUCCGAUUGCGAAGGCAGUUCACUGGACUGCAACUGACACUGAGGCUCGAAAGUGUGGGUAUCGAACAGGAUUAGAUACCCCGGUAGUC
Molecule: ribosomal RNA, 460 nt
Filed under: uncultured bacterium
Lineage: Bacteria
Description: partial 16S ribosomal RNA
Rfam family: Bacterial small subunit ribosomal RNA
Source: RNAcentral